GAUGAACGCUGGCGGCGUGCCUAAUACAUGCAAGUCGAGCGAACAGACGCGGAGCUUGCUCCUCUGACGUUAGCGGCGGACGGGUGAGUAACACGUGGAUACCCUCCCUAUAAGACUGGGAUAACUUCGGGAAACCGGAGCUAAUACCGGAUAAUAUAUUGAACCGCAUGGUUCAAUAGUGAAAGACGGUUUUGCUGUCACUUAUAGCUGGAUCCGCGCCGCAUUAGCUAGUUGGUAAGGUAACGGCUUACCAAGGCAACGAUGCGUAGCCGACCUGAGAGGGGGAUAGGCCACACGGGAGCUGAGACGCGGUCCAGACUCCUACGGGAGGGAGCAGUAGGGAAUGGGCCGCAAUGGGCGAGAGCCUGACGGAGCAACGCCGCGUGAGUGAUGAAGGUCUUCGGAGCGGAAAACUCUGUUAUGAGGGAAGAACAAAUGUGUAAGUAACUAUGCACGUCUUGACGGUACCGAGUCAGAAAGCCACGGCUAACUACGUG
This 497-nucleotide ribosomal RNA is filed under the name uncultured bacterium. RNAcentral describes it as "partial 16S ribosomal RNA". It matches the Rfam family "Bacterial small subunit ribosomal RNA", at positions 28 to 507 of the family's 1533-position model. The record is from RNAcentral.